AUAGCUGAUUGCACCAACAAAUGGUUGAUGCAAUAUUGACUCUGUCAAAUAAAAUUCUAGGUAGAAUUAUGAUAAUGACAUUGUCUGCCUAUAUGUCUUGACCAAAUUACGUGCCAGCAGUCGCGGUAAUACGUAGAAGACUAGUGUUAUUCAUCUUUAAUAGGUUUAAAGGGUACCUAGACGGUAAAUCAAGCCUUCACAGGGACUAAUUUACUAGAGUUACUUACGAGGGGGUAUUAAAGUACUGCAGGUGUAGAGAUGAAAUUCUGUCAUACCUCUUUUCAAAAGAAAAAUUAUGGCACAGGUAUAGGUGAAAGCAUCCCCUUAUGUGAUAACUGACGUUGAAGGACGAAGGCUUUGUGUCGCGAACAGGAUUAGAUACCCCAGUAGUCAAAGCAGAAAAUGAUGAAUGUCAUAGAUUAGAUAUAUAGUUUAUUCUAUAAAUGAAAAUGUAAGCAUUCCACCUCAAGAGUAAUUUGGCAACAUUGGAACUGAAAUCAUUAGACCGUUUCUGAAACCAGUAGUGAAGUAUGUUGUUUAAUUUGAUGAUCCGCAAAAAACCUUACCACAAUUUGAAUAUUUGUAUCUAUCUUUUUGUACGUAAAAAAAUAAAAAGGUAAUAUAUUUACAAGCGUUGCACGGCUGUCUUCAGUUAAUGUCGCGAGACUUUGGUUAGUUCCAUUUAAUUAACGUAAACCCUUACUUUAUUUUUAUAUGAAGUAGUUCCCCGCUAUAUUGGAUAUGAUAACAGGGACUAGGACAAGUCAUCAUGGCCUUAAUAUUGUGGGCUAUAGACGUGCCACAUAAACCUUACAAAAGGGUGUGAAAUUGCGAAAUUGAGCUAAUCCCCCAAAA
RNAcentral lists this ribosomal RNA (855 nucleotides) under Lepraria sp. MPN-3. Its description in RNAcentral is "mitochondrial SSU rRNA". It matches the Rfam family "Bacterial small subunit ribosomal RNA", at positions 378 to 1281 of the family's 1533-position model. The record is from RNAcentral. Lineage: Eukaryota; Fungi; Ascomycota; Lecanoromycetes; Lecanorales; Stereocaulaceae.